This 369-nucleotide ribosomal RNA is filed under the name unidentified archaeon. RNAcentral describes it as "bacterial SSU rRNA". It matches the Rfam family "Archaeal small subunit ribosomal RNA", at positions 90 to 460 of the family's 1478-position model. The record is from RNAcentral.
UCAGUAACACGUAGUCAACCUAACUCAUGGAGGGGGAUAAUCUCGGGAAACUGAGGAUAAACCCUCAUAGAUAAUGGUGCCUGGAAUGGCCCAUUGUUGAAAUAGUUUACUGCCGUGGGAUGGGACUGCGGCCUAUCAGCUUGUUGGUGAGGUAAUGGCCCACCAAGGCUAUAACAGGUACGGGCUCUGAGAGGAGAAGCCCGGAGAUGGGUACUGAGACACGGACCCAGGCCCUAUGGGGCGCAGCAGGCGAGAAACCUUAGCAAUGUGCGAAAGCACGACUGGGUCAGUCCGAGUGAUUUCUGAUAAAGGAAUCUUUUGCCCGUUGUAAAUGCACGGGCGAAUAAGGGGUGGGCAAGUCUGGUGCCA